Molecule: non-coding RNA, 201 nt
Filed under: Veillonella montpellierensis
Lineage: Bacteria; Bacillati; Bacillota; Negativicutes; Veillonellales; Veillonellaceae
Description: T-box sequence
Rfam family: T-box leader
About the family: Uncharged tRNA acts as the effector for transcription antitermination of genes in the T-box leader family.
Source: RNAcentral
AUAAAGGCUAUGAUUGAAAGAAGUACUUUAAAACUAACGUCUGAGCGAGAACUGAUGGUGAGAGGGUUUGCGGAUAGAUAAAGGAAAUGCCUUCAGGAGCUGACAUUCCGAUAUGUAGGAUUGUACGGUAUCGUCCGUUAUGCGUUUGAGUGAUUGUGUACUACAAUUAACAGAGUGGAACCGCGGGCCAUCGUCUCUGUA